This 473-nucleotide ribosomal RNA is filed under the name uncultured bacterium. RNAcentral's name for it is "bacterial SSU rRNA". It matches the Rfam family "Bacterial small subunit ribosomal RNA", at positions 40 to 507 of the family's 1533-position model. The record is from RNAcentral.
CGGCAGGCCUAACACAUGCAAGUCGAGCGGUAGAGAGGUGCUUGCAUCUCUUGAGAGCGGCGGACGGGUGAGUAAUGCCUAGGAAUCUGCCUAGUGGUGGGGGAUAACGUUCGGAAACGGACGCUAAUACCGCAUACGUCCUACGGGAGAAAGCGGGGGGAUCUUCGGACCUCGCGCCAUUAGAUGAGCCUAGGUCGGAUUAGCUAGUUGGUGAGGUAAUGGCUCACCAAGGCGACGAUCCGUAACUGGUCUGAGAGGAUGAUCAGUCACACUGGAACUGAGACACGGUCCAGACUCCUACGGGAGGCAGCAGUGGGGAAUAUUGGACAAUGGGCGAAAGCCUGAUCCAGCCAUGCCGCGUGAGUGAUGAAGGCCUUCGGGUUGUAAAGCACUUUCAGCGAGGAGGAAGGGUUGUGUGUUAAUAGCACAUAGCCUUGACGUUACUCGCAGAAGAAGCACCGGCUAACUCUGUG